This 478-nucleotide ribosomal RNA is filed under the name uncultured bacterium. RNAcentral describes it as "partial 16S ribosomal RNA". It matches the Rfam family "Bacterial small subunit ribosomal RNA", at positions 28 to 523 of the family's 1533-position model. The record is from RNAcentral.
GACGAACGCUGGCGGCGUGCUUAACACAUGCAAGUCGAACGGUAAGGCCCUUCGGGGUACACGAGUGGCGAACGGGUGAGUAACACGUGGGUGAUCUGCCCUGCACUUCGGGAUAAGCCGGGGAAACUGGGUCUAAUACCGGAUAGGACUCCGGACUGCAUGGGCGGGGGUGGAAAGCUUUUGCGGUGUGGGAUGGGCCCGCGGCCUAUCAGCUUGUUGGUGGGGUGAGGGCCUACCAAGGCGACGACGGGUAGCCGGCCUGAGAGGGUGACCGGCCACACUGGGACUGAGAUACGGCCCAGACUCCUACGGGAGGCAGCAGUGGGGAAUAUUGCACAAUGGGCGCAAGCCUGAUGCAGCGACGCCGCGUGAGGGAUGACGGCCUUCGGGUUGUAAACCUCUUUCAGCAUCGACGAAGCGAAAGUGACGGUAGGUGCGGAAGAAGGACCGGCCAACUACGUGCCAGCCGCCGCCGUAA